RNAcentral lists this ribosomal RNA (402 nucleotides) under uncultured bacterium. RNAcentral describes it as "bacterial SSU rRNA". It matches the Rfam family "Bacterial small subunit ribosomal RNA", at positions 355 to 773 of the family's 1533-position model. The record is from RNAcentral.
CGAGGAAUAUUGCACACUGGAGGAAACUCUGAUGCAGUAACGCCGCGUGGGGGAAGAAGACCUUCGGGUUGUAAACCUCUUUUUGUAAAGACGAGUGAGGACGGUAUUUAUAGAAUAAGUCUCGGCUAACUACGUGCCAGCAGCCGCGGUAAGACGUAGGAGGCGAGCGUUAUCCGGAUUUACUGGGCGUAAAGCGCAUGUAGGCGGUUCUGUAAGUCCGAUGUUAAAGCCCCCGGCUCAACUGGGGGAGGUCAUUGGAGACUAUAGGACUUGAGGGCAACAGAGGCACGUGGAACUCCCGGUGUAGCGGUGGAAUGCGUAGAGAUCGGGAAGAACACCAGUGGCGAAGGCGACGUGCUGGGUUGCAACUGACGCUGAGAUGCGAAAGUGUGGGGAGCAAAC